Molecule: ribosomal RNA, 498 nt
Filed under: uncultured bacterium
Lineage: Bacteria
Description: partial 16S ribosomal RNA
Rfam family: Bacterial small subunit ribosomal RNA
Source: RNAcentral
GACGAACGCUGGCGGCAUGCCUAAUACAUGCAAGUUGAACGAUGAUAUUCUCUGCUUGCAGAGAAUUGAAGAGUAGCGAACGGGUGAGUAACACGUGGGGAACCUGCCCAUGAGAGGGGGAUAACAUUCGGAAACGGAUGCUAAUACCGCAUAAUGCUUUGGACCGCCUGGUCCAGAGACGAAAGACGGCUUUUGCUGUCACUCAUGGAUGGCCCCGCGCCGUAUUAGCUAGUUGGGGAGGUAAUGGCUCACCAAGGCUGUGAUACGUAGCCGGCCUGAGAGGAUGAUCGGCCACACUGGAACUGAGACACGGCCCAGACUCCUACGGGAGGCAGCAGUGGGGAAUCUUCCACAAUGGGCGAAAGCCUGAUGGAGCAAUGCCGCGUGAGUGAAGAAGGUCUUCGGAUCGUAAAGUUCUGUUGUUGGGGAAGAACAAGUCAAGGAGAAUCUGUCUUGACUUUGACGGUACCUAGCGAGAAAGCCACGGCUAACUACGUG